UGCAAGUCGAACGAUGAUGCCUCGCUUGCGGGGUGGAUUAGUGGCGAACGGGUGAGUAACACGUGAGUAACCUGCCCCUGACUCUGGGAUAAGCGCUGGAAACGGUGUCUAAUACUGGAUAUGAGCUCCUGCCGCAUGGUGGGGGUUGGAAAGAUUUUUUGGUUGGGGAUGGGCUCGCGGCCUAUCAGCUUGUUGGUGAGGUAAUGGCUUACCAAGGCGUCGACGGGUAGCCGGCCUGAGAGGGUGACCGGCCACACUGGGACUGAGACACGGCCCAGACUCCUACGGGAGGCAGCAGUGGGGAAUAUUGCACAAUGGGCGGAAGCCUGAUGCAGCAACGCCGCGUGAGGGAUGACGGCCUUCGGGUUGUAAACCUCUUUUAGCAAGGAAGAAGCGUGAGUGACGGUACUUGCAGAAAAAGCGCCGGCUAACUACGUGCCAGCAGCCGCGGUAAUACGUAGGGCGCAAGCGUUAUCCGGAAUUAUUGGGCGUAAAGAGCUCGUAGGCGGUUUGUCGCGUCUGCUGUGAAAUCCCGAGGCUCAACUUCGGGUCUGCAGUGGGUACGGGCAGACUAGAGUGCGGUAGGGGAGAUUGGAAUUCCUGGUGUAGCGGUGGAAUGCGCAGAUAUCAGGAGGAACACCGAUGGCGAAGGCAGAUCUCUGGGCCGUAACUGACGCUGAGGAGCGAAAGGGUGGGGAGCAAACAGGCUUAGAUACCCUGGUAGUCCACCCCGUAAACGUUGGGAACUAGUUGUGGGGUCCUUUCCACGGAUUCCGUGACGCAGCUAACGCAUUAAGUUCCCCGCCUGGGGAGUACGGCCGCAAGGCUAAAACUCAAAGGAAUUGACGGGGACCCGCACAAGCGGCGGAGCAUGCGGAUUAAUUCGAUGCAACGCGAAGAACCUUACCAAGGCUUGACAUACACCAGAACGGGCCAGAAAUGGUCAACUCUUUGGACACUGGUGAACAGGUGGUGCAUGGUUGUCGUCAGCUCGUGUCGUGAGAUGUUGGGUUAAGUCCCGCAACGAGCGCAACC
Molecule: ribosomal RNA, 1035 nt
Filed under: Microbacterium sp.
Lineage: Bacteria; Bacillati; Actinomycetota; Actinomycetes; Micrococcales; Microbacteriaceae
Description: bacterial SSU rRNA
Rfam family: Bacterial small subunit ribosomal RNA
Source: RNAcentral